GCCAGUGUCCUGCUCGCCAUCCCCGCCAUGCUGUCUCUAGACUUUUUGGAUAAUGUGCCGCAGAUGAACAAGCGACAGCUCUAUUAUCAAGUCCUAAAUUUCGGAAUGAUUGUCUCAUCGGCGCUAAUGAUCUGUAAGGGGUUAAUGGUAAUAACUGGGAGUGAAAGUUCAAUUGUAGUGCUGCUCAGUGGCAGCAUGGAACCCGCAUUUCACAGGGGAGAUCUUUUCUUUCUAACAAAUCGAGUUGAAGAUCCCAUACAAGUGGGAGAAACUGCUGUUUUAAGGAUAGAAGGAAGAAGGAUUCUUACAGUUCACCGAGUCUUGAAGAUUCAUGAAAAACAAAAUGGGCAUAUCAAGUUUUUGACCAAAGGAGAUAAUAAUGCGGUUGAUGACCCAGGCCUCUAUAAAUAAGAACAACAUUCGCUAGAGAAAAAAGAUGUCGUGGGGAGAGCCAGGGGAUUUUUCCUUGUACUGGAAUUGGGACCAUCUUCAUGAAUGACUAUCCUAAAUUUAAGUAUGAAGUGCUCUUUUUGCUGGGUUUAUUUGUGCUGGUCCAUCAUGAGUAAGAAGUCUGCCUUGCUGUUCCUGGGAAGAUGCCACACUUUUCCUUACUGGA
Mandrillus leucophaeus (drill) is the source of this 616-nucleotide RNA transcript. It is a transcript of the gene named signal peptidase complex catalytic subunit SEC11A pseudogene, with no coding region annotated. NCBI's taxonomy places the organism in Eukaryota, Metazoa, Chordata, Mammalia, Primates, Cercopithecidae. The record is from RefSeq and is a predicted model, not a curated record. The transcript has a single exon.